This 440-nucleotide ribosomal RNA is filed under the name uncultured bacterium. RNAcentral describes it as "partial 16S ribosomal RNA". It matches the Rfam family "Bacterial small subunit ribosomal RNA", at positions 338 to 795 of the family's 1533-position model. The record is from RNAcentral.
CCUACGGGUGGCAGCAGUAGGGAAUAUUGCUCAAUGGGGGAAACCCUGACGCAGCAACGCCGCGUGGAGGAUGAAGGUUUUCGGAUUGUAAACUCCUUUUGUUAGAGAAGAUAGUGACGGUAUCUAACGAGUAAGCACCGGCUAAAUACGUGCCAGCAGCCGCGGUAAUAAGGAGGGUGCAAGAGUUACUCGGAAUCACUGGGCGUAAAGAGCGCGUAGGCGGGAUAGCAAGUCAGAUGUGAAAUCCUAUGGCUUAACCAUAGAACUGCAUUUGAAACUGUUAUUCUAGAGUAUGGGAGAGGUAGGUGGAAUUCUAUGUGUAGCGGUAAAAUCCGUAGAGAUCAAGAGGAAUACUCAUUGCGAAGGCGACCCUCUAGAACAUAACUGACGCUGAGGCGCGAAAGCGUGGGGAGCGAACAGGAUUAGAUACCCCUGUAGUC